UUUUUGAUUAAUAAUUUAAAGUCUAAUCUGCCCACUGAUAAUAUAUUAAAGGGCUGCAGUAUUUUGACUGUACAAAGGUAGCAUAAUCAUUAGUCUCUUAAUUGGUGACUUGUAUGAAAGAUUUAAUGAGAUAUAUACUGUCUCUUUUUGAUUUAUAAAAUUUAAUUUUUUAGUUAAAAAGCUAAAAUGUAUUUAAAAGACGAGAAGACCCUAUAGAGUUUUAUAUUUAUUAAAUUUAAAAUUUUUUAUAAGAUUUAAAAUUUUAAUUUUAAUAAAUAUUUUGUUGGGGUGACAAAAAAAUUAAAAAAACUUUUUUUAUAAAUUUACAUUAAUAAGUGAAUAAAUGAUCCGUAAUUUACGAUUAAAAGAAAAAAUUACCUUAGGGAUAACAGCGUAAUUUUUUUUUUUAGUUCAAAUAAGAAAAAAAGUUUGCGACCUCGAUGUUGGAUUAAGAUAAAAUUUAAAUGUAAAAGUUUAAAAUUUUUGAUCUGUUCGAUCAUUAAAAUCUUACA
This 512-nucleotide ribosomal RNA is filed under the name Parnassius acdestis limitis. RNAcentral describes it as "partial 16S ribosomal RNA". The stretch from base 385 to 512 matches the Rfam family "Bacterial large subunit ribosomal RNA", at positions 2473 to 2600 of the family's 2925-position model. The record is from RNAcentral. Lineage: Eukaryota; Metazoa; Arthropoda; Insecta; Lepidoptera; Papilionidae.